GUGCUCGCUUAGGCAGCACAUAUACUAAAACUGGGAUGAUGUCGAGAAGAUUAGCAUGGCCCCUGUGCAAGGAUGACAUGCAAAUUCAUGAAGCAUUCCAUAUUUUU
This is a small nuclear RNA of Otolemur garnettii (small-eared galago), 107 nucleotides long. The record is from Ensembl. Lineage: Eukaryota; Metazoa; Chordata; Mammalia; Primates; Galagidae.